GGUAUGCGGAAUUCUGUGUGUAGGGGUAAAAUCCGUAGAUACACAGAGGAACACCAAAAGCGAAGGCAGCAUACUGGGUAGUUACUGACGCUCAGGAACGAAAGCGUGGGGAGCGAACGGGAUUAGAUACCCCGGUAGUCCACGCCGUAAACGAUGGAUACUAGAUGUUGGAGGACUCGACCCCUUCAGUGUCAAAGCUAACGCAUUAAGUAUCCCGCCUGGGGAGUACGGUCGCAAGAUUAAAACUCAAAGGAAUAGACGGGGACCCACACAAGCGGUGGAGCAUGUGGUUUAAUUCGACGAUAAGCGAGGAACCUUACCUAGACUUGACAUCCCGGGAAUUUUCCAGAAAUGGAAAAGUGCCGCAAGGAACCCGGUGACAGGUGCUGCAUGGUUGUCGUCAGCUCGUGCCUUGAGGUGUUCGGUUAAGUCCGUGAACGAGCGCAACCCAUGUCUUGUGUUGUAUUUUCACAAGAGACUGCCGGCUUUAAGUCGGAGGAAGGUAUGGACGACGUCAAAUCAGCAUGGCCCUUAUGUCUAGGGCUACACACGUGCUACAAUGGCUGGUACAAUGGGCAGCAAACCCGUAAGGGGGAGCCAAUCCCUAAAACCAGUCUCAGUUCGAAUUGAGGGCUGCAACUCGCCCUCACGAAGUUGGAAUCGCUAGUAACCGCGGAUCAGCAAUGGCGCGGUGAAUAUGUUCCUGGGUCUUGUACUCACCGCCCGUCACAUCACGAAAGAUGGGGGCAUCCGAAGUAUCGUUAGCUUACGGGCGCGGUCCUAAGGUGAAAUCAUUGAUUGGGAUGAAGUCGUAACAAGGUA
This 822-nucleotide ribosomal RNA is filed under the name uncultured sediment bacterium. Its description in RNAcentral is "bacterial SSU rRNA". It matches the Rfam family "Bacterial small subunit ribosomal RNA", at positions 656 to 1498 of the family's 1533-position model. The record is from RNAcentral.